GGAAAGCGCAUUUGUAACGCGGGCGACGAUGUGCCCGAAAUCCCCGGACGGUGGGUCUGCAUCGAGACGCCGAGCUCUGGAGCUGGAAAAACCCGGCUGAGGCUUUACAGUUCUCUAUACUCUCCCAAGAUCCACAGAAAAUGAACACAUUUCAGGGUACUGCUUUACAAAACCAGAACUGAUCUUCACAUUGGAACAAGGAGAAGAUCCAUGGUUAUUAGAGAAAGAGAAAGGAUUUCUAAGCAGGAACUCCCCAGAAGACUCCCAACCUGAUGAAAUCUCAGAGAAGAGCCCAGAAAAUCAAGGCAAACAUUGGUGGCAAGUUUUAUUCACCAAUAAAUUAUUGACUACAGAGCAAGAAAUUUCAGGAAAACCACAGAAUCGAGACAUAAACAUUUUUCCUGCAAGAAUGAUGCCUUGUAAAUGUGACACUGUGGGGUCUGCUUGCCAGGGUCUCAGCCUGAUGGCCCCACACUGUCAGUAUUCAAAAGAAAAGGCUCAUGAGCAUAAUGUUUGUGACAAAUGGCUCAUCAGUAUUAAGGAUGGCAGAACUAACACUCAAGAGAAAUCUUUGGCUUAUAGUAAAAUUGUGAAAACCCUCCAUCAUAAGGGGGAAGUUAUUCAACAU
RNAcentral lists this small RNA (628 nucleotides) under Pongo abelii (Sumatran orangutan). RNAcentral's name for it is "processed transcript". The record is from RNAcentral. Lineage: Eukaryota; Metazoa; Chordata; Mammalia; Primates; Hominidae.